GACGAACGCUGGCGGCGUGCUUAACACAUGCAAGUCGAACGGAAAGGCCCUGCUUUUGUGGGGUGCUCGAGUGGCGAACGGGUGAGUAACACGUGAGUAACCUGCCCUUGACUUUGGGAUAACUUCAGGAAACUGGGGCUAAUACCGGAUAGGAGCUCCUGCUGCAUGGUGGGGGUUGGAAAGUUUCGGCGGUUGGGGAUGGACUCGCGGCUUAUCGGCUUGUUGGUGGGGUAGUGGCUACCAAGGCUUUGACGGGUAGCCGGCCUGAGAGGGUGACCGGCCACAUUGGGACUGAGAUACGGCCCAGACUCCUACGGGAGGCAGCAGUGGGGAAUAUUGCACAAUGGGCGGAAGCCUGAUGCAGCAACGCCGCGUGCGGGAUGACGGUCUUCGGGUUGUAAACCGCUUUCGCCUGUGACGAAGCGUGAGUGACGGUAAUGGGUAAAGAAGCACCGGCUAACUACGUG
Molecule: ribosomal RNA, 467 nt
Filed under: uncultured bacterium
Lineage: Bacteria
Description: partial 16S ribosomal RNA
Rfam family: Bacterial small subunit ribosomal RNA
Source: RNAcentral